UGAGGAAUAUUGGUCAAUGGGGGCAACCCUGAACCAGCCAAGUCGCGUGAAGGAUGAAGGUCUUAUGGAUUGUAAACUUCUUUUAUACAGGAAUAAAUUGGGGGACGUGUCCCCUUUUGCAUGUACUGUAUGAAUAAGGAUCGGCUAACUCCGUGCCAGCAGCCGCGGUAAUACGGAGGAUCCGAGCGUUAUCCGGAUUUAUUGGGUUUAAAGGGUGCGCAGGCGGGAUGUUAAGUCGGCGGUGAAAUUUUGCAGCUCAACUGUAAAAGUGCCUUCGAUACUGGCUUCCUUGAGUGUGGAUGAANUAGGCGGAAUUUGUGGUGUAGCGGUGAAAUGCUUAGAUAUCACGAAGAACUCCGAUUGAGAAGGCAGCUUACCGGGGUACAACUGACGCUGAUGCACGAAAGUGUGGGUAUCAAACA
This 422-nucleotide ribosomal RNA is filed under the name uncultured bacterium. RNAcentral's name for it is "bacterial SSU rRNA". It matches the Rfam family "Bacterial small subunit ribosomal RNA", at positions 355 to 774 of the family's 1533-position model. The record is from RNAcentral.